Oncorhynchus mykiss (rainbow trout) is the source of this 3071-nucleotide long non-coding RNA. Lineage: Eukaryota; Metazoa; Chordata; Actinopteri; Salmoniformes; Salmonidae. The record is from Ensembl.
GUUCUAACCACUAGGUCAAACACUAGGGUUCUAACCACUAGGGCUUACACUAGGUUUCUAACCGCUAGAGCUAACACUAGGGUUCUAACCACUAGGGCUAACACUAACCACUAGGGCUAACACUAGGGUUCUAACCGCUAGAGCUAACACUAGGGUUCUAACAACUAGGGCUAACACUAACCACUAGGGCUAACACUAGGGUUCUAACCACUAGGACAAACACUAACCACUAGGGCUAACACUAGGGUUCUAACCAAUAGGGCAAACACUAACCACUAGGGGUUACACUAGGGUUCUAACCACUAGGUCAAACACUAGGGUUCUAACCACUAGGGCUUACACUAACCACUAGGGCUUACACUAGGUUUCUAACCGCUAGAGCUAACACUAGGGUUCUAACCACUAGGGCUAACACUAACCACUAGGGCUAACACUAGGGUUCUAACCACUAGGGCUUACACUAACCACUAGGGCUAACACUAGGUUUCUAACCACUAGGGCUAAAACUAACCACUAGGGCAAACACUAGGGUUCUAACCACUAGGGCUAAUACUAACCACUAGGGGUUACACUAGGGUUCUAACCACUAGGGGUUACACUAGGGUUCUAACCAUGAGGUCAAACACUAGGGUUCUAACCACUAGGGUUCUAACCGCUAGAGCUAACACUAGGGUUCUAACCACUAGAGCUACAACAAACCACUAGGGCUAACACUAGGGUUCUAACCACUAGGGCUAACACUAAGGUUCUAACCGCUAGAGCUAACACUAGCGUUUUAACCACUAGGGCUAACACCAGGAUUCUAAACACUAGGGCUAACACUAGGGUUCUAACCACUAGGUUUAACACUAACCACUAGGGCUAACACUAGGGUUCUAACCUCUAGGGCUAACACUAACCACUAGGGCUAACAUUAGGGUUCUAACAACUAGGGCUAACACUAAGGUUCUAACCGUUAGAGCUAACACCAGGAUUUUAAACACUAGGGCUAACACUAACCACUAGGGCUAACAGAAGGGUUCUGAAAACUAGGGCUAACACUAGGGUUCUAACCACUAGGGCUAACACUAACCACUAGGGCUAACACUAGGGUUCUAACCACUAGGGCUGACACUAAGGUUCUAACCGCUAGAGCUAACACUAGGGUUCUAACCACUAGGGCUAACACUAACCACUAGGGCUAACACUAGGGUUCUAACCGCUAGAGCUAACACUAGAGUUCCAACCACUAGGGCUAACACUAACCACUAGGGCUAACACUAGGGUUCUAACCGCUAGAGCAAACACUAGGGUUCUAACACCUAGGGCUACAACAAACCACUAGGGCUAACACUAGGGUUCUAACCACUAGGGCUAACACAAAGGUUCUAACCGCUAGAGCUAACACUAGCGUUUUAACCACUAGGGCUAACACCAGGAUUCUAAACACUAGGGCUAACACUAGGGUUCUAACCACUAGGUUUAACACUAACCACUAGGGCUAACACUAGGGUUCUAACCUCUACGGCUAACACUAACCACUAGGGCUUACAUUAGGGUUCUAAACACUAGGGCUAACACUAAGGUUCUAACCGCUAGAGCUAACAUAAGGAUUCUCAACACUAGGGCUAACACUAACCACUAGGGCUAACAGUAGGAUUCUAAACACUAGGAUUAACACUAGGGUUCUAAUUACUAUGGCUAACACUAACCACUAGGGCUAACACUAGGGUUCUAACCACUAGGGCUAACACUAAGGUUCUAACCGCUAGAGCAAACACCAGGAUUCUAAACACUAGGGCUAACACUAACCACUAGGGCUAACAGUAGGGUUCUAAACACUAGGGCUAACACUAGGGUUCUAACCACUAAGGCUAACACUAACCACUAGGGCUAACACUAGGGUUCUAACCACUAAGGCUAACACUAGGGUUCUAACCACUAAGGCUAACACUAACCUCUAGGGCUAACACUAGGGUUCUAACCACUAGGGAUAACACUAACCACUAGUGCUAACACUAGGGUUCUAACCACUAGGGCUAACACUAAGGUUCUAACCGCUAGAGCUAACAGCAGGAUUCUAAACACUAGGGCUAACACUAACCACUAGGGCUAACACUAGGGUUCUAACCACUAGGGCUUACACUAACCACUAGGGCUAAUUCUAGGGAACUAACCACUAGGCCUAACACUAAGGUUCUAACCACUAGGGCUUACACUAACCACUAGGGCUAACACUAGGUUUCUAACCACUAGGUGUAACCCUAAGGUUUUAACCACUAGGGCUUACACUAACCACUAGGGCUAACACUAGGGUUCUAACCACUAGGUCUAACACUAAGGUUCUAACCACUCGGUCUAACCCUAAGGUUCUAACCACUAGGGCUAACACUAACCACUAGGGCUAACACUAGGGUUCUAACCACUAGGGCUAACACUAAGGUUGUAACCGCUAGAGCUAACACCAGGGUUCUAACCACUAGGGCUAACACUAACCACUAGGGCUAACAGUAGGGUUCUAACCACUAGGGCUAACACUAGGGUUCUAACCACUAGGGCUAACACUAAUGUUCUAACCGCUAGAGCUAACACUAGGGUUCUAACCACCAGGGAUAACACUAACCACUUGGGCUAAGACUAGGGUUCUAACCACUAGGGCUAACACUAAGGUUCUAACCGCUAGAGCUAACACCAGGAUUCUAAACACUAGGGCUAACACUAACCACUAGGGCUAACACUAGGGUUCUAACCACUAGUGCUUACACUAACCACUAGGGCUAAUACUAGGGCACUAACCACUAGGCCUAACACUAAGGUUCUAACUGCUAGAGCUAACACUAGGGUUCAAACCACUAGGGCUAACACUAACCACUAGGGCUAACACUAAGGUUCUAACCGCUAAAGUUAACACCAGGGUUCUAACCACUAGGGCUAACACUAACCACUAGGGCUAACAGUAGGGUUCUAACCGCUAAGGCUAACACUAAUCACUUGGGCUAAGACUAGGGUUCUAACCACUAGGGCUAACACUAACCUCUAGGGCUAACACUAGGGUUUCAACAACAAAACAACAACAAAUAACCUCACACUCA